AUGGUAUUUAAGAAUAAUACAACAACAAUAUAAAACACCUUUAUUAGAAUAAAACAAACUCCAAGAACAAAAAAAAAGGAGGUCUGUACAAGAGUUGACUGAUUGGAUGAGUUAACUUUCAGCACUUUGAAUUUGGCUUUGGGUCUCCAUGGUUUCUGAGGCGGAAUCAGCUUUGAGUCUUAUUGAGGAUCUGCAUAGGUGAUGAGUUCUCUGGACCUAAGGCUUUGAAGCAGCUCCAAUCCUGUUCUGCCUCCUGCCAGGUUUUCAUUAUGAGUGUGGGAUGUUGGUUUUAAGUCCCCUGCAGAGAUGGAGAAAGAAGGAAGGCAACUGGGCAAGUUCAAAUCCUUCAAAGCUUGCUGUUCUUACUGAGAUUCUGUCACUUUUCUUAUACAAAUGCAACCUGAAUUGCUUCAAGUCUCGGGCUAAUUUCCAGAGUUCUGAAAAGGUUGAUUCAGACCAUUUUCCCCCAGGGUUUUGUUUCCAUAGAGAAAGGAAUUCUCAAAAGUCCUCAUU
Molecule: long non-coding RNA, 513 nt
Filed under: Homo sapiens (human)
Lineage: Eukaryota; Metazoa; Chordata; Mammalia; Primates; Hominidae
Description: non-protein coding lnc-KIDINS220-19:1
Source: RNAcentral